This 77-nucleotide transfer RNA is filed under the name Marinosulfonomonas sp. RNAcentral's name for it is "tRNA-Arg". It matches the Rfam family "tRNA". Rfam says of the family: Transfer RNA (tRNA) molecules are approximately 80 nucleotides in length. Lineage: Bacteria; Pseudomonadati; Pseudomonadota; Alphaproteobacteria; Rhodobacterales; Paracoccaceae. The record is from RNAcentral.
GGCCCCGUGGCUCAACUGGAUAGAGCAGUCCCCUCCUAAGGGACAGGUUACUGGUUCGAAUCCAGUCGGGGUCACCA